GCAUCAGAAUGAGUGGGGCCUAUGUACUUGAUUUGUGUGAAGUGUAACGUUAGAAGUUAAAGACUUGUAACCCAUAAGAUCCUCAAAGUCUUUCUCUCUCUCUCAGUAUUCCUCAAACGUCCUUCUCUAGGAAAAAUUUCUCUCUCCAUUUUUUCUCAAACCCUUUUUCUUUAUCUAUUCCAUGCAUCGGAUCCGUUCAUAGGCCUCUCAUUUUGCAAAGGUUGAAGAAGGUAUUUUGGUCUUGCGUUUUCUGUUUGAUGUGCGGUUUCCGAGCGUGUUAAAGUUUCCGAUGCUAAAAUAUUUUCUGGAUUUUGCAAGUCACACCUUGUAUCGUUUGAGGAGGGAUGUUGAAGUCUAGAUCGGUAUGAAUCGUAAGUUUGGCUGGACAUUGUUCUUUUUAUGGAAGAAGAACUGAUGGUGUUACUAGAGCGGAGAAAAAGUUGUAAAUGAGGAUAAAUCAUUGUAAAUGGUUGAUAUUCAACCGUUUCAAACAUGCGGCAGCCAGGAUUACUGAUCCUGAUUUGUUAUAAUAUCAAAAAGAAGUCCAAAAGCAGAAAGUGACCAGGCCUAUAGCUAAAAAGACUUCAUUUAGAAGUGUUCAAAGAGUUUAAAGGUAUACUAACUCAAUUUGAUGAAACACAUCUUAAUUAACCAAUUCUACUGAUUUUAUAAACCAAUACUGGUCCAUUGUGUCUUCCCCAUUAUCAUGUUGUUGAGCAAUUAAACCGAAUCCGUUGUUAGCCCAAGUAUUCCCCCAGGAAUUUAGUAUACGCCAAUAUUUUAUCGAUGCUCCAUUUAUUCUUUUCCGUCCAUAACCAACAAUUAGUAUUGUAUGUCCUCCUUCUCCCUUCGGUUUGUAUACUCCUCCCUUCAAAACAAUAGCUUAUGAGUUUUAAUUAAAUAAACAUUCGAGCUAUCAAGAAAGUACAAUUUGAGUUUUAGUUAAAUAAUCAUUCUAACAAUCAAGAAAAUACCAUGUGAGUUUUAGUUAAAUAAACAUUCAAGCAGAGUAUGAAAGUGCCUUAAAUAAGCAUAGAUAAGCAUGUGAGUUUUAGUUAAAUAAACAUUCAAGACAGAGUAUGAAAGUACCUUGGAUAAGUAUUCGAUGUCCGUGAGCCCGUAAAAGGCUGCGAUGACUGGACCUUUAGUGUCCAGUAGUUGUUCCACAUUGUUAAUGCCGUAUACUUCGUAAAAAUUUCUUAUUUUUGCAAUAGUAUCUUUGUAAAUUGUUGCUUUUGACCCUCUCCGAAAUUUUUGAUAAUGUUUUCCUUUGGGAGGUCUUUCUCCAUAUUCAAUCACACCCUUGGUUUUCAUAACAUCCAAGCAACUUUCAAGGGUAACACCAUAUGUUUUAUCAAUCUCAGUUUUAAAGAGAUGAUUUACCAAGUCUUUUUUGGAAGUUGUAAUCACGGUGCCAGUUUGAAUUCUGAACAUUGUCUCGAAAGCUGCACAGCAUGCAUAAAUUGUGCAAGAACCUUCAUUCCCUUGAUGAUAGGGAGUGGGUAGAUAAUCUGUCCACUUAUCAACCAAAUAACGAUGCAUAAUUUGUUCAACCGUUUUAGUUUGGCUUGAGGAUUUUGGUCUUCUAGAAGCAAAUAACUUUGAGGUAUAUUUUGGCCGCCUCAGCACAGCACCUGAGAUAGCAUCUUUUGUAAAAAAAUCCAAAAUACAAAUGUUUAAUAUGAUUUUGAUAUGACACCAUAUUAAUGUAAAUAGAAGCCAACAUCUAGCAUUAAUAACUACUAUUUUCAUUCAA
Molecule: long non-coding RNA, 1756 nt
Organism: Vicia villosa (hairy vetch)
Lineage: Eukaryota; Viridiplantae; Streptophyta; Magnoliopsida; Fabales; Fabaceae
Exons: 2
Source: RefSeq, a predicted model, not a curated record